UACGUAGGGGGCGAGCGUUGUCCGGAUUCACUGGGCGUAAAGCGUGCGCAGGCGGUUUUGUAAGCCAGAUGUGAAAGCCCCGGGCUCAACCUGGGAAUGGCAUUUGGGACUGCAAGGCUGGAGUUUGGCAGAGGAGACUGGAAUUCCCGGUGUAGCAGUGAAAUGCGUAGAUAUCGGGAGGAAUACCGAUGGCGAAGGCAGGUCUCUGGGCUAUAACUGACGCUCAUGCACGAAAGCGUGGGGAGCAAACAGG
Molecule: ribosomal RNA, 253 nt
Filed under: uncultured bacterium
Lineage: Bacteria
Description: partial 16S ribosomal RNA
Rfam family: Bacterial small subunit ribosomal RNA
Source: RNAcentral